Molecule: transfer RNA, 70 nt
Filed under: Salmo salar (Atlantic salmon)
Lineage: Eukaryota; Metazoa; Chordata; Actinopteri; Salmoniformes; Salmonidae
Rfam family: tRNA
About the family: Transfer RNA (tRNA) molecules are approximately 80 nucleotides in length. Their secondary structure includes four short double-helical elements and three loops (D, anti-codon, and T loops).
Source: Rfam by way of RNAcentral
CCCAUGUAGCUCAGUAGGUAGAGCAUGGCGCUUGCAAUGCCAGGGUUGUGGGUUCGAUUCCCACGUGGGA